UUUUUUUUUUUUUUUUUUUUUUCCAAGUCAACCCCUUCUUGUUUUAAGAUGUGACACUAGUUCUGAGCUCUGGGGCCUCACUGAGUCUGGCCACCAACCUUUCAAGCUCUUAAACACAGUAAAGCUCUGAAUGGGGUUCAGAACAAGACUCUCCAAAAUGUGCUACUUUAUGGCACUAUUUGUGAGCUGAAGGUAAUCAAGACCCAGAAGACCCAAGAAAAAUUUUUGCUUCUCCCCAAACUACCUAAAUGAAUUUAGAUAAGGGGACUGGUUCAGGAAGAGAGCUUAUUUCUAAGAGAUAACUUUUGUAUCUGAAUGACCUAUUGGUAGGACAGGACAAACAUCUAAUUACCAAAUAAUCUGCUCUUCUUAUCAACCUGUGAAUCAUCCUCCUCCUCUUUGAAGCCCCAGGCCCCUGUCCCAUUCCUUAGCUCAAGAUGGCACAUAAGCCUCAAUUACGCAGCUUGUCCUUGGGUCUCACUGUCUUCCUGGGGUCCUCAUACAUAAAUAAGUAAAUUUGUUUUUCUCUUGUUAAACUGCUCUAUGUUAAUUUUCUCAAAUAUUUAUUUAUUUAUGAGAGAGAGUGAGCAUGAUCAGGGGGAGGGGCAAAGGGAGAGGGAGAGAGAGAAUCUCAAGCAGACUCCUUUUUGAGCACAGAGCCCAGCACAGGGUCCAGUCUCAUGACCCCAAAAUUAUGACCUGAGCCAAAACCAAGAGUUGGAUGCUUAACCAACUGAGACACUGAGGUGCCUUGCCCCAAAAUUGCCCUAUGUUAAUUUGAUUUUUAUAUUAGUGAAAAAUCCAAGAAGGAUAGAGGAAAAAAUCUUCUUCCCCAACAGCUCCACAGAUUUUUUUCGACUCUUUUUUAUACAUGAAUUCACUACAGAAAAGCUACAUUUAACUUGGCUUUCUUUCAAGGAAUAUAGUUACUGGAUUCAGUUUAGCCAAGUAUCAUAGCAAAAAUAUUCUAACUUGGAUUAUUACGGUGUUUGUACUUCCAUUGCAGUGGUUUUCAGAUUUUAGUAUGUAUAAGAAUAUCCAGAGGGGUCGCUAAACUGCAUUUUCUUAGGUCUAAUCCCCUUCCCAAAAGAUUUUAAGUCAGUGGGUCUAGGAUGGAGUCCAGAAAUCUGUAGUAUAUAUAAGCACACAGGUCAUUCUGAUGUCAGAGGUGCUGUGGUCCACACUUUGAAAUACUAUACUUACUAGUUUUCAAUAAAGCCCUCAUGGAUCCACUCACAUAAUAGGAACACAAAUUCUCCUUUCAGUGCUUUGAAGAAUAUGCAUCUAGAAGUCUGUUUUUCUCCUCUGAUGGCAUUAAAUGCAAAAAAGAAGGAAAUCAAGAGCUAAACCGUUGGUACUGUCCCUUUAAAGAUCAUCAUUAUUCUGAAAAUGAAAUGUUUGCUUCCUUCCUUCACAAAGAAAAAGUUCUGCUUGCCGUGGGAGUAAAAGGUGUUAUGAUUGCAAAAUUUUUGUUCACCAGACAAAUUCCAGUCCUUUCAUAUGGCUUUAGACAAUGCUCUCUCUUAACUGUUUGUACAGCACUUCAAAAUCCUGAGGAGGUGGUUGCAGUGUGGGCUAAUGCCAGUGUUAUUUAGAGAACAUGCAAACAGAAUCAAGACUUAGCGCUGCUCAAGGGGACAGGACAGUGGCCUCCCAAGCAAUAGAGCCAUUGAGUCAUGCUCAUCUCUCUUAAAAGGGUGGUAAGUGAAUUACUUCGUGAGUUCAAAGACCAGAAUCUGGCACAAACACUUCUUGGGAUGCUCUCCCUACCCCUGGUCGUAGGCUCUUAUAAGAUCCAAGGUAAUGAAAGAAAUAUGAGAAUUCAGUUGCAGCUCUGACACUUUAUUGACUAUAAGACCUUGAGCAAAUCAUUUUACUGGUCUAAGCUUAUAUAAUUAUGAUGACAAUAUUUACCUCACAGGAUGGUUGUGAAAAUUAAGUUUCAUUUAUGAUAAUAUAUAGCAGAGUACUUGGCAGUAAACUGCUGCAACAUUCAUUUUUUAUUCCUUUCUCAUAAUUUGGUUUGAAGUCAUUGCUAUACCAAUCCCUCAAGGGCAGUGAGCUUCUAUAGCCACUGUUUAGCUCAGAGCAACACCCUUUCCAAUGGACACUGUAUGCCAUUUAAUAAGGCCGACUUUAUGGGCUGGCAGUUAGGAAGAGUUGCAUUGUAAUCAUCAGUUACCAGUAUAGAAUGACAGAGUAGCAAGCAAGUUAUGGUUUUAAUGCUGAGGAUACUUUUCUUUUUCUUAAAAAUUUUAACCCACCUAUUUUCACAUGUUUUAAAUCAUGUUCAAAAAUUAGAUAAAACAAAACUUGGAUUUACUUAAUAGAUCAAUUAAAGCAAAGGCUCUCAGUGGUACAAGGGAGGCCAUGCAGUUUUUCUGAAAACCUAAUAAAUGAUCAAAUCCUUUCACCUCUGGAGAAAAAUACACAUACACACUAAAUUAUUCAUUCAGAUGAUGGAGGUUUACAGACUCCCCACAGACCAUCGACAAAACCCAGGCUAAGAAACCCUAAUAUGUGCACCAUCACUCACUUACCAUACUUUCCCUAGUAAAGUAGGAGCCUAAGCCCUUCCUAACCCUAAGAGCAACCUGGAAGGCUGUUAAAACCCCAUAGAAGACUUGUGUGGGCUCCUUUAACAGACACUUAGGUUCUCACAAUGACUACAUGCAGCAUAUGUCUAGGCAAUGAUGGGGUUGCCAUGGUGAGGUGAUUAGGAACUCAGUUUUGUAGUUUAGCCAAUAUGUUUUCCAGCUUCUGUAAAUCAGGCCAAAUGGAACACAGGUUGGGGAGAAGAGUUCAAAGAAAAUGAAGUUUUCUUGAAGGGUCUCAUUCAAAGUUUAGGGGUCAUUUUCUCCACAUUGCUUGCAAUAUGACAAGUAUACUGGAAAAUGCUUCUACUCCAUUGUCAAGAACUGCUCCCUACCUUCCUAGUUCUGCUUUUUUGCUAAUGGGGAUUUCAGAAUAGCAACCUGUCCACGCUCUGAUUCUCAGAUAUCAAGAGUCAAACAGUGAGAGAUCUGUUUUCCAGGUGACAAACGCUGGGGGAGGCAAAGAUAAAAUAGGCUGCAUACAGCAAAUAACAAGAAUCAGACAUCAGACAAAAAGCAAGUGGUAAACUAUGUUCAAUUAACUUCUAUUAUUACAUAUUUUUUAAACUUUCAGUGUAGGCAUGGCAUGGUUAUUCUUAACCCAUCUCCCUCCUACAGAGAGCUAUGUUUUAAGGGUCGGAACACAGUAUCAUUCAGAUAUAAAGAUAACAAUCCUGGCCUUCCCCAAGAAAAUGUGAAUGCAGAGUUUCUCCUCCUUAAGAAUCAUUCCUAGUCCUUCAACCCUUGUGAUUAAAGAUAUGCUUUUGAGGUAUGCCUGGCUGGCUCAGUCAGUAAAAUAUGCAACUCUUGAUCUUGGGGUUGUAAGUUCAAGCCCCGCGUUGGGUAUGGAGAUUACUUUAAAAAAAUAAAAUCUUAAAAAAAAUGUUUUUGAGAGAAUGCUGGUCAAGUCAAGUCAGGAGUGCAAGCUGUGGCUGAAGAACAAGACAUAUGUAGUUCUAGGCGGGGAUGAUAUACAAAGAGAACAUUAAGGUCAAUGGUAGCUCUGAAAAGAAAAUUAGCUUGAGUGAUUUUGCAUGAUUUUCAAAAUGAUUCUGAAAUUAAUUCGUAAAGAAUACAUUGAAAUGUGACGGAAAAAGGAGAAAUUGAAAGAGAACCUUAGAACUGCAAAAAUAGGAUUCAUCUUGUUAUAAUAUUCAGCCAACACAGGAAAGCACCUCUUAACUUAAUGUCUUCAGAAAUGAGAACCACUGAGAUAUACAAACAACAGUUAUGCCACCUAUUCAUGGGACUUAAAGGAUGAAUACAAAUAUAUCCACCAAUAGGGAAAAUAGGCUUUGAACUUUUCAAGGGUUGGUCCUGCAUUUUCUGUUCUACUCUGGCUAUAUUUCCUUCCUAAAAGACCCUAUCUAGUCCCAGGCUUUAAACACCAUCUAUAUACCAAUUAUUCUCAAAUUUAUUUCUCCAGCCCUGACUUCCUCCAGAUUUAUAUACUCAACUGUCUACUUCAUUGCAAUUCUCAGGGUAACCAAUAAAAAAUAACUAAAAUAGGGAUCCCUGGGUGGCGCAGCGGUUUAGCGCCUGCCUUUGGCCCAGGGCGCGAUCCUGGAGACCCGGGAUCGAAUCCCACGUCGGGCUCCCGGUGCAUGGAGCCUGCUUCUCCCUCUGCCUGUGUC
This 4228-nucleotide long non-coding RNA is filed under the name Canis lupus familiaris (dog). RNAcentral's name for it is "lncRNA (ENSCAFG00000058107.1)". The record is from RNAcentral. Lineage: Eukaryota; Metazoa; Chordata; Mammalia; Carnivora; Canidae.